UUCAGAGAAAUGAGCAAACCCCAUCAUCGGGUUGGUACUUGGAACGCUAGCAUCUUGAGAAUACUUCUUGAAAAAUUCAUCAAAACCUUUCUCCAUUGCUUGAAAUUGAGAUGAAAUUUAGAGAGAGUGUAGAGAAAUUGUAGAGAGAUUGUAGAAAAUGUGAAAAAGAAUGUGAGAAAGGUGUAGUAUUUAUAGAAGAAAAAAGAAAAAAAAUGAAAUUCUGCAACGGUAAAAAAAGGAAAAAAAGAAACGAAAAAAUAAUAAUUUUGACCAUCGUCAAACGGUACAAUUCAAAUUUAUAUAUAUAUUUUUUUAAAUCCC
Molecule: long non-coding RNA, 321 nt
Filed under: Salvia miltiorrhiza (redroot sage)
Lineage: Eukaryota; Viridiplantae; Streptophyta; Magnoliopsida; Lamiales; Lamiaceae
Description: long non-coding RNA (SMIL_LNC003809)
Source: RNAcentral